This 398-nucleotide long non-coding RNA is filed under the name Gallus gallus (chicken). Its description in RNAcentral is "long non-coding RNA NONGGAT004520". The record is from RNAcentral. Lineage: Eukaryota; Metazoa; Chordata; Aves; Galliformes; Phasianidae.
CUGCAAUAUUCAGGAAUUUCCUUCUGGGGCUGCAUUUGGCUUGAGGACUACAGCUGCUGCACACAGCAAACCAGGGUGACCAGCAGAUGUCAGCUCUUUGUCUCAUCAGGAGGAAAUCGCAGUUGCUGUGGACAGGACUACACAGGGAAAAUGAAACAAAGGUGAUGAUACCACCUGCUGCGUGCGAACUCAGUCCCACGCCGAACACACGCAUUGCAUGGGUGAUAAAUCUGCAUUCCAUGACAGCAGAUUUGGGCUCAUCACUUUGCCUCAAUCAUCAGGAACGCAAACAGUAAACAACAAGCAGGCCCAACUACUAUCAGCCUGCCAUCUCUCGGGGCCAGGGACUCCCGAUGCUUUUGAAGGAGGCCCUUCGCUGCCUGAAAUCAGCAGAGCCG